Molecule: long non-coding RNA, 249 nt
Organism: Oncorhynchus keta (chum salmon)
Lineage: Eukaryota; Metazoa; Chordata; Actinopteri; Salmoniformes; Salmonidae
Exons: 3
Source: RefSeq, a predicted model, not a curated record
AGCGACCCCAAAAAACGACUUCGUAAAAGAGGGAAACGUAGCGGUCUUAUGGUCAGACUCCGGACACGGGCACAUCGUGCACCACUCGCUAGCAUUCUUCUUGCCAAUGUCCAGUCUCUUGACAACAAGGUUGAUGAAAUCCGAGCAAGGGUAGCAUUCCAGAGGGACAUCAGAGACUGUAACGUUCUCUGCUUCACGGAAACAUGGCUCACUGGAGAGACGCUAUCCGGGGCGGUGCAGCCAACGGGU